UUCCCCGCUGAAACCCCUAAUUUUUUCCCCUCUUCUUCGCGGUUUAACAUUUCGCUUCUUCACCCUUUUCAAACUCAUUUCUUUCGCCUCUUCUUUCUUUUUCUCGGAUCUUCUUUCUCCCUCUCAGCAAAGAUCUUUGAUUCUUUCCGUCUCCCUUUCGUUCGCUCUCUGAGGCUGGAAACAGGCUCGUCGAACCCCCGUCGUCAGUCGCUGAGCUCAUCCCUUUCCUAGACGUUGAUGAAGAACCUGCAAUUAGAACAAAUACCACCAUAUUAUUGGGAAACAUUUCAAGCUACUUAAAUGGAGGGGAUUGAUUCCUCUAGCAAUUGAUGGUGGUCCCAAUCAACUUGUUUGGAAAUGGAUGUCAGGUGGCCGGUUCUCAACAGUUGCCACUUAUAAUCAUUUGGUUGUGCGUAGAAGUGGAGCUUCUGGUCGUUAAUUUAGAUACUGAUAUGUGGAAGGUUGAAGCUCCAUAACAUAUUAAAGUGCUUUUAAUGGCUGUUAAAGGAUUUUAAUCCAGAUUGCGGGGACUCUGUCUACACUGCUAGGAUUGUGGACUUGUUACUUGAAUGUGUGGAAUUGUCCUAUAGACCAGGACAUUUUUCUCAAGGCAGAAAGCAGGGAUAUUGUCAUGUUUGAUCACUGAAGAUGCUAUGUAGGGUCAUCCUGAAGAAUUAGGAUCACUUGUUGAAGUUUUAAAGAGUGGAAUGGUUACAAGCCAUUCAGGACAUCAAUACAAGCUUCAAAGUGAUGCAAAAUGCGAUACAAUGGAAACCUUGUGGCGCAUUCUAGGAGUAAAUAAUGCUGCUUAGAGAGUCUUUGGUGAAGCCACUGGAUUUUCUCUUCUGCUAACCACCCUCCAUAGUUUUCAGGGUGAUGGUCACUCAGAAGAACCUUCUUUAUUAGGUUACAUCAGAGUCUUCACAUAUUUAUUGCGCCUUAUGACAGCAGGGGUGUGUGGUAAUACUAUUAAUAGGACAAAACUGCAUGCUAUCAUAUCAUCACACACAUUUUAUGAUCUUCUAUCCGAGUCUGGCUUGCUGUGUGCGGAUUAUGAGAAGCAAGUGAAACGUCUAUUGUUGGAACCUGCUCAAAAGUUUUUCUCUAAGGCUUAUUGCUUUGAGUUCAUUACAAGAUUUCCUUGAUUAAGUAAAUGUAUUAUAUCUUUUAUUACCAAGAUUUACUUGAUUAAGAAAAUGCAUUCUAUGUUUUAUUA
Molecule: long non-coding RNA, 1216 nt
Organism: Gossypium raimondii (Peruvian cotton)
Lineage: Eukaryota; Viridiplantae; Streptophyta; Magnoliopsida; Malvales; Malvaceae
Exons: 7
Source: RefSeq, a predicted model, not a curated record